Molecule: ribosomal RNA, 254 nt
Filed under: uncultured bacterium
Lineage: Bacteria
Description: partial 16S ribosomal RNA
Rfam family: Bacterial small subunit ribosomal RNA
Source: RNAcentral
GACGUAGGGGGCAAGCGUUAUUCGGAAUCAUUGGGCGUAAAGCGCGCGUAGGUGGUCAUGUAAGUCCGCUGUGAAAGUCAAAGGCUCAACCUUUGAAAGCCGGUGGAUACUGCAUGACUAGAGUACGGAAGAGGCGAGUGGAAUUCCUGGUGUAGCGGUGGAAUGCGCAGAUAUCAGGAGGAACACCAAUAGCGAAGGCAGCUCGCUGGGACGUUACUGACACUGAGGCGCGAAAGCGUGGGGGAGCGAACAGG